RNAcentral lists this ribosomal RNA (253 nucleotides) under uncultured bacterium. RNAcentral's name for it is "partial 16S ribosomal RNA". It matches the Rfam family "Bacterial small subunit ribosomal RNA", at positions 524 to 776 of the family's 1533-position model. The record is from RNAcentral.
UACGUAGGGUGCGAGCGUUAAUCGGAAUUACUGGGCGUAAAGCGCGCGUAGGCGGACCUGCAAGUCGGGGGUGAAAGCCCGAGGCUCAACCUCGGAACUGCCUUCGAUACUGCGGGUCUCGAGUCCGGGAGAGGUGAGUGGAAUUCCUAGUGUAGAGGUGAAAUUCGUAGAUAUUAGGAAGAACACCAGUGGCGAAGGCGGCUCACUGGCUCGGUACUGACGCUGAGGCGCGAAAGCGUGGGAAGCAAACAGG